Molecule: ribosomal RNA, 1394 nt
Filed under: uncultured bacterium
Lineage: Bacteria
Description: bacterial SSU rRNA
Rfam family: Bacterial small subunit ribosomal RNA
Source: RNAcentral
AGAGUUUGAUCCUGGCUCAGGAUGAACGCUAGCGACAGGCCUAACACAUGCAAGUCGAGGGGCAGCGCGGUGUAGCAAUACACUGGCGGCGACCGGCGCACGGGUGAGUAACGCGUAUGCAACCUACCCCUUACAGGGGGAUAACCCGGAGAAAUCCGGACUAAGACCGCAUAAGACCACACGGGGGCAUCCCCGAGGGGUCAAAUAUUCAUAGGUAAGGGAUGGGCAUGCGUCCGAUUAGCUAGUUGGCGGGGCGACGGCCCACCAAGGCGACGAUCGGUAGGGGUUCUGAGAGGAAGAUCCCCCACAUUGGAACUGAGACACGGUCCGAACUCCUACGGGAGGCAGCAGUGAGGAAUAUUGGUCAAUGGGCGGAAGCCUGAACCAGCCAUGUCGCGUGAAGGAAGAAUGUGCUAUGCAUUGUAAACUUCUUUUGCAGGGGGGUAAAGUGUGCCACGCGUGGCAUAUUGCAAGUACCCUGCGAAUAAGCAUCGGCUAACUCCGUGCCAGCAGCCGCGGUAAUACGGAGGAUCCGAGCGUUAUCCGGAUUUAUUGGGUUUAAAGGGUGCGCAGGCGGCCUGUUAAGUCAGCGGUCAAAUGGUGGGGCUCAACCCCGCUUCGCCGUUGAUACUGGGAGGCUUGAUUGCGGUCGAGGUAGGCGGAAUUCGUCGUGUAGCGGUGAAAUGCAUAGAUAUGACGAAGAACACCGAUUGCGUAGGCAGCUUACCAGACCGCGAAUGACGCUCAGGCACGAAAGUGCGGGGAUCGAACAGGAUUAGAUACCCUGGUAGUCCGCACAGUAAACGAUGAAUACUUGCUCUCGGCGACAGACGGUCGGGGGCAAAGCGAAAGCGAUAAGUAUUCCACCUGGGGAGUACGCCGGCAACGGUGAAACUCAAAGGAAUUGACGGGGGCCCGCACAAGCGGAGGAACAUGUGGUUUAAUUCGAUGCUACGCGAGGAACCUUACCCGGGCUUGAAAGUUACCGAAUGGAGCUGAAAGGCUCCAGACCCGCAAGGGACGGGAAACUAGGUGCUGCAUGGUUGUCGUCAGCUCGUGCCGUGAGGUGUCGGCUUAAGUGCCAUAACGAGCGCAACCCUUUUCUCCAGUUGCCAUCAUUCGGUUGGGGACUCUGGAGACACUGCCAUCGUAAGAUGCGAGGAAGGAUGGGAUGACGUCAAAUCAGCACGGCCCUUACGUCCGGGGCGACACACGUGUUACAAUGGAUGGGACAGAGAGCAGCGAAGCGGCGACGCCGAGCGAAUCUAUAAACCCAUUCCCAGUUCGGACUGGAGUCUGCAACCCGACUCCACGAAGCUGGAUUCGCUAGUAAUCGCGCAUCAGCCAUGGCGCGGUGAAUACGUUCCCGGGCCUUGCACACACCGCCCGUCAAG